CGUACACUCCUGCGGGAGGCAGCAGUGGGGAAUAUUGGACAAUGGGCGCAAGCCUGAUCCAGCCAUGCCGCGUGAGUGAUGAAGGCCCUAGGGUUGUAAAGCUCUUUCACCGGUGAAGAUAAUGACGGUAACCGGAGAAGAAGCCCCGGCUAACUUCGUGCCAGCAGCCGCGGUAAUACGAAGGGGGCUAGCGUUGUUCGGAUUUACUGGGCGUAAAGCGCACGUAGGCGGACUAUUAAGUCAGGGGUGAAAUCCCGGGGCUCAACCCCGGAACUGCCUUUGAUACUGGUAGUCUUGAGUUCGAGAGAGGUGAGUGGAAUUCCGAGUGUAGAGGUGAAAUUCGUAGAUAUUCGGAGGAACACCAGUGGCGAAGGCGGCUCACUGGCUCGAUACUGACGCUGAGGUGCGAAAGCGUGGGGAGCAAACAGGAUUAGAUACCCUUGUAGUCC
Molecule: ribosomal RNA, 449 nt
Filed under: uncultured organism
Description: partial 16S ribosomal RNA
Rfam family: Bacterial small subunit ribosomal RNA
Source: RNAcentral